UGAACGCUGGCGGCGUGCCUACUACAUGCAAGUCGAGCGACCGGACGAGAAGCUUGCUUCUCUGAUGUUAGCGGCGGACGGGUGAGUAACACGUGGAUAACCUACCUAUAAGACUGGGAUAACUUCGGGAAACCGGAGCUAAUACCGGAUAAUAUUUUGAACCGCAUGGUUCAAAAGUGAAAGACGGUCUUGCUGUCACUUAUAGAUGGAUCCGCGCUGCAUUAGCUAGUUGGUAAGGUAACGGCUUACCAAGGCAACGAUGCAUAGCCGACCUGAGAGGGUGAUCGGCCACACUGGAACUGAGACACGGUCCAGACUCCUACGGGAGGCAGCAGUAGGGAAUCUUCCGCAAUGGGCGAAAGCCUGACGGAGCAACGCCGCGUGAGUGAUGAAGGUCUUCGGAUCGUAAAACUCUGUUAUUAGGGAAGAACAUAUGUGUAAGUAACUGUGCACAUCUUGACGGUACCUAAUCAGAAAGCCACGGCUAACUACGUG
This 495-nucleotide ribosomal RNA is filed under the name uncultured bacterium. RNAcentral describes it as "partial 16S ribosomal RNA". It matches the Rfam family "Bacterial small subunit ribosomal RNA", at positions 30 to 507 of the family's 1533-position model. The record is from RNAcentral.